GAGUUUGAUCCUGGCUCAGGGUGAACGCUGGCGGCGCGCUUAAUGCAUGCAAGUCGAGCGUGAUCGUGGCUUCGGCCACAAUGAUAAAGCGGCAGACGGCUGAGUAACGCGUGAGUAAUCUGCCCUCCGGUGGGGUAUAACCUCGGGAAACUGAGGAUAAUCCCGCAUACGACCUGCAUCCCUUGGGGUGCAGAUGAAAGGCUUCGGGCGCCAGAGGAGGGGCUCGCGCCCUAUCAGUAGUUGGUAGGGUAACGGCUACCAAGCCUAUGACGGGUAGCUGGUCUGAGAGGACGGCCAGCCAGAGGGGGACUGAGACACGCCCCCCACUCCUACGGGAGGCAGCAGCAGGGAAUCUUGGGCAAUGGGCGAAAGCCUGACCCAGCGACGCCGCGUGGAGGAAGAAGGCUUUCGGGUCGUAAACUCCUUUUCUAGGGGAAGAGAUAGGACGGUACCUUGGGAAUAAGCCCCGGCUAACUACGUGCCAGCAGCCGCGGUAACACGUAGGGGGCGAGCGUUACCCGGAUUUAUUGGGCGUAAAGGGCGCGUAGGCGGUUCGGCAAGUCUCCUGUGAAAGCUCCCGGCUUAACUGGGAGAGGUCGGGGGAAACUGCCGGGCUAGAGGGCAGCAGAGGAGAGUAGAAUUCCCGGUGUAGCGGUGAAAUGCGUAGAUAUCGGGAGGAAUACCAGUGGCGAAGGCGGCUCUCUGGGCUGUUCCUGACGCUGAGGCGCGAAAGCGUGGGUAGCAAACCGGAUUAGAUACCCUGGUAGUC
Molecule: ribosomal RNA, 769 nt
Filed under: uncultured Chloroflexota bacterium
Lineage: Bacteria; Bacillati; Chloroflexota
Description: bacterial SSU rRNA
Rfam family: Bacterial small subunit ribosomal RNA
Source: RNAcentral